RNAcentral lists this non-coding RNA (21 nucleotides) under Arabidopsis thaliana (thale cress). The record is from RNAcentral. Lineage: Eukaryota; Viridiplantae; Streptophyta; Magnoliopsida; Brassicales; Brassicaceae.
ACUGCUAACAUUGGUGGCCUA